This 279-nucleotide ribosomal RNA is filed under the name uncultured bacterium. Its description in RNAcentral is "partial 16S ribosomal RNA". It matches the Rfam family "Bacterial small subunit ribosomal RNA", at positions 506 to 784 of the family's 1533-position model. The record is from RNAcentral.
UGCCAGCCGCCGCGGUAAUACGGAGGGAGCGAGCGUUAAUCGGAAUUACUGGGCGUAAAGCGCGCGUAGGCGGCUUUGUAAGUCGGAUGUGAAAGCCCUGGGCUCAACCUGGGAACUGCAUGGAAUACUGGGUGACUAGAGUACGAUAGAGGGGGGUGGAAUUUCCGGUGUAGCGGUGAAAUGCGUAGAUAUCGGAAGGAACAUCAGUGGCGAAGGCGACCCCCUGGAUUGAUACUGACGCUGAGGUGCGAAAGCGUGGGGAGCAAACAGGAUUAGAUA